GCGUGAGCCGCGGGUUCCGCAUCGCCAGUACGCGCCUCGAGGCGAUCGCCGAGAUCUUCAACCUGUUCAACGCGAAGAACCCCGUCCUGAAUCUCACGCAGAACGCGUCACCGACGCCGGCGUCGGUGAGAGCGCAGUUCAUGCAGCCGGCGGGAUAUGCCGGCGACGUGGGCCAGCCGGAACAGCGGGUGGGGCAGGUCGGGUUUCGCUUCACGUUCUAGACGUAGGACGGGACGCGUCGCUCGACGAUGCUCGGGACGCCCUGAGCAGAGUCGAAGGGCGCAGCGCCCCGCCGCUGAUGCGGGGCCGCUGUGCGGUCCCGGCCUACUCUCUCCCAGCUAUCGUCUCGAACUGGCGGCAGAUGAUUCAGCUCGUGGCCGGCGCACCAGGCGGUAAGCCACUCCACCGUCACGACACCCCAUUCAGGAUGACUCGCUUCGCGGAGCCGCAUGUGACGGCGUGAGCGACUUCAAGAGCGCGACGUUCAUCGAACGCAGGCCGAGAUACGCGUCCAGCGACGUCAGCGCCGGCGGCGCCGGCUCCUCGCGCAUCCAGUCAUCCUGCUCGAACGGCUGAAUCCGAUACUCGUCCUGCGCAAGCGCGAAGCGGAUGCGGGUGCCGAACACGAUCUCGAGAUGGACGAGAUGCUCCAGGAUCUGCCGCGCCGUCCACUUGCCGGUCGCGUACGAUUCGUCGUCUUUGGAGCGCGGCCAGGCGCGAACCAUCGAGGCGAUGCGCGCCGCGGUCUCGUCGAGGCUGCGCAGGGGAUCGCGACCCUCGAUGUACUUUCCGUACGGGUUCGGAGUCAUGACCUUAUCCUAGCUGGUAGGCGGUAGGCGGUAGGAGGGGGUAGCCUGUAGCCUGAAGCCCGUUGCCGUUCAGACGACGAUGAUCAACGACGCGCACUGCCAUUUCUUCUCGACCGAGUUCUUCGAUACGCUCGCCCGGCAACGUGGCGCCGAUCCGUCGGGCGCGCAGCUCUGCGCCGACCUCGGAUGGGACCCGCCGGGAACCGCCGGGACACUGGCGGACCGGUGGGUACGGGAGCUCGACGCCAACGGCGUCCGCCGCGCCGCGAUCAUCGCAAGCCUGCCGGGAGAUGAAACGUCCGUGGCGGCCGCCGUCGGCCGGCAUCCAGACCGGUUCGUCGGCUUCUUCAUGCUCGACCCCGCGGGUUCGGACGCCGUCAACCGCACCAGGCGCGCGGUCACCGAGCUUGGGCUGCGCGGCAUCUGCUUGUUCCCGGCCAUGCAUCACGUGCCGCUGGACGACGAGCGCGUGCAAGCCGUGGUCGACGUUGCCGCGCAGACGCCGGGCACCGCGGUCUUCGUCCAUUGCGGCAUGUUGUCGAUUGGCGUGAGGAAGAAGCUCGGGCUGCCGAGCCGCUUCGCGCUGAAGCUUGGCGACCCGCUUGCCGUCGCACGGCUGGCCUCCGCGUUUCCAUCGGUACCGUUUCGUCAUCCCGCACUUCGGCGCCGGCAUGCUCCGCGAGGCCCUGAUGGCGGCCGACGCCUGCCCGAACGUCCACUUCGACACCUCAAGCUCGAACAGCUGGAUUCGCUACACGCCGGGACUGACACCUCGAAGCCGUCUUCGCCGCCGCGCUGGCCGUAAUGGGACCGUCACGGCUGCUCUUCGGCACCGACUCGUCGUUCUUUCCGCGCGGUUGGCAGAAGGCGAUCGCCGAGCGGCAGCAGACACUGCUCGGCGGGAUGACCAAUCUGACCGACGACGAGCGCGCGCUCAUCCUGGGGGGCAACUUCGAGCGCUUGUUCCCCAGGUAGCUCUUUCAAAAGCCCAAAUCCCAAAACCCAAAACCCAGGAUCCCAAAUCCCAGAUCCCAACAAAUCCCAACGCCGGCACACGGGGAUCUUUGGGAUCUGGAUUUGGGAUCCUGGUUUUGGGUUUUGGGAUUUGGGCUUUUGAAAGAGCUACCUGGGGAACAAGCGCU
RNAcentral lists this unclassified non-coding RNA (1951 nucleotides) under uncultured fungus. Its description in RNAcentral is "sequence contains 18S rRNA gene, ITS1, 5.8S rRNA gene, ITS2, 28S rRNA gene". Lineage: Eukaryota; Fungi. The record is from RNAcentral.